Molecule: ribosomal RNA, 457 nt
Filed under: uncultured bacterium
Lineage: Bacteria
Description: partial 16S ribosomal RNA
Rfam family: Bacterial small subunit ribosomal RNA
Source: RNAcentral
CCUACGGGAGGCAGCAGUGGGGAAUAUUGCACAAUGGGGGAAACCCUGAUGCAGCGACGCCGCGUGAGUGAAGAAGUAUUUCGGUACGUAAAGCUCUAUCAGCAGGGAAGAAAAAAAGUCCUUUGGACUUUGGACGGUACCUGACUAAGAAGCCCCGGCUAACUACGUGCCAGCAGCCGCGGUAAUACGUAGGGUGCAAGCGUUAUCCGGAUUUACUGGGUGUAAAGGGUGCGUAGACGGCAGCGCAAGUCUGGAGUGAAAUGCCGGGGCCCAACCCCGGAACUGCUUUGGAAACUGUGCAACUGGAGUGCAGGAGAGGUAAGCGGAAUUCCUAGUGUAGCGGUGAAAUGCGUAGAGAUUAGGAGGAACACCAGUGGCGAAGGCGGCUUACUGGACUGUAACUGACGUUGAGGCUCGAAAGCGUGGGGAGCAAACAGGAUUAGAUACCCCAGUAGUC